GAGUUUGAUCAUGGCUCAGGAUGAACGCUAGCGGCAGGCUUAAUACAUGCAAGUCGUGGGGCAGCGCAGUGUAGCAAUACAUGGGCGGCGACCGGCAAACGGGUGCGGAACACGUACGCAACCUUCCUUUAACUGGAGAAUAGCCCCUCGAAAGAGGGAUUAAUACUCCGUAAUAUCCCGACAUGGCAUCAUGACGGGAUUAUAGCCCUCGGGCGGUUGAAGAUGGGCGUGCGCCUGAUUAGAUAGUUGGCGGGGUAACGGCCCACCAAGUCUGCGAUCAGUAACUGGUGUGAGAGCACGACCAGUCACACGGGCACUGAGACACGGGCCCGACUCCUACGGGAGGCAGCAGUAAGGAAUAUUGGUCAAUGGACGCAAGUCUGAACCAGCCAUGCCGCGUGGAGGAUUAAGGCCCUCUGGGUUGUAAACUCCUUUUUAAUCUGGGAAGAAAUGUUCCGAUUCUUCGGAAUUUGACGGUACCAGAGGAAUAAGCACCGGCUAAACUCCGUGCCAGCCGCCGCUAGU
RNAcentral lists this ribosomal RNA (525 nucleotides) under uncultured bacterium. Its description in RNAcentral is "bacterial SSU rRNA". It matches the Rfam family "Bacterial small subunit ribosomal RNA", at positions 9 to 522 of the family's 1533-position model. The record is from RNAcentral.